RNAcentral lists this ribosomal RNA (713 nucleotides) under Limosilactobacillus oris. RNAcentral describes it as "bacterial SSU rRNA". It matches the Rfam family "Bacterial small subunit ribosomal RNA", at positions 374 to 1078 of the family's 1533-position model. Lineage: Bacteria; Bacillati; Bacillota; Bacilli; Lactobacillales; Lactobacillaceae. The record is from RNAcentral.
GGCGCAAGCCUGAUGGAGCAACACCGCGUGAGUGAAGAAGGGUUUCGGCUCGUAAAACUCUGUUGUUGGAGAAGAACGUGCGUAAGAGUAACUGUUUACGCAGUGACGGUAUCCAACCAGAAAGUCACGGCUAACUACGUGCCAGCAGCCGCGGUAAUACGUAGGUGGCAAGCGUUAUCCGGAUUUAUUGGGCGUAAAGCGAGCGCAGGCGGUUGCUUAGGUCUGAUGUGAAAGCCUUCGGCUUAACCGAAGAAGUGCAUCGGAAACCGGGCGACUUGAGUGCAGAAGAGGACAGUGGAACUCCAUGUGUAGCGGUGGAAUGCGUAGAUAUAUGGAAGAACACCAGUGGCGAAGGCGGCUGUCUGGUCUGCAACUGACGCUGAGGCUCGAAAGCAUGGGUAGCGAACAGGAUUAGAUACCCUGGUAGUCCAUGCCGUAAACGAUGAGUGCUAGGUGUUGGAGGGUUUCCGCCCUUCAGUGCCGAAGCUAACGCAUUAAGCACUCCGCCUGGGGAGUACGACCGCAAGGUUGAAACUCAAAGGAAUUGACGGGGGCCCGCACAAGCGGUGGAGCAUGUGGUUUAAUUCGAAGCUACGCGAAGAACCUUACCAGGUCUUGACAUCUUGCGCCAACCUCAGAGAUGAGGCGUUCCCUUCGGGGACGCAAAGACAGGUGGUGCAUGGUCGUCGUCAGCUCGUGUCGUGAGAUGUUGG